RNAcentral lists this ribosomal RNA (436 nucleotides) under Fusobacterium periodonticum. RNAcentral describes it as "bacterial SSU rRNA". It matches the Rfam family "Bacterial small subunit ribosomal RNA", at positions 28 to 489 of the family's 1533-position model. Lineage: Bacteria; Fusobacteriati; Fusobacteriota; Fusobacteriia; Fusobacteriales; Fusobacteriaceae. The record is from RNAcentral.
GAUGAACGCUGACAGAAUGCUUAACACAUGCAAGUCUACUUGAACUUCGGUUUGGGUGGCGGACGGGUGAGCAACGCGUAAAGAACUUGCCUCACAGUUAGGGACAACAUUUGGAAACGAAUGCUAAUACCUGAUAUUAUGAUUUUAGGGCAUCCUAAGAUUAUGAAAGCUAUAUGCGCUGUGAGAGAGCUUUGCGUCCCAUUAGCUAGUUGGAGAGGUAACGGCUCACCAAGGCGAUGAUGGGUAGCCGGCCUGAGAGGGUGAACGGCCACAAGGGGACUGAGACACGGCCCUUACUCCUACGGGAGGCAGCAGUGGGGAAUAUUGGACAAUGGACCAAAAGUCUGAUCCAGCAAUUCUGUGUGCACGAUGACGUUUUUCGGAAUGUAAAGUGCUUUCAGUUGGGAAGAAAAAAAUGACGGUACCAACAGAAGAA